UACGAAGGGGGCUAGCGUUGCUCGGAAUUACUGGGCGUAAAGGGCGCGUAGGCGGCACUGUUAGUCAGGCGUGAAAUUCCUGGGCUCAACCUGGGGACUGCGCUUGAUACGGCAGAGCUAGAGGAUGGAAGAGGCUCGCGGAAUUCCCAGUGUAGAGGUGAAAUUCGUAGAUAUCUGGAGGAACACCGGUGGCGAAGGCGGGUCUCUGGGCCGAUACUGACGCUGAUACGCGAAAGCGCGGGGAUCAAACAGG
This 253-nucleotide ribosomal RNA is filed under the name uncultured bacterium. Its description in RNAcentral is "partial 16S ribosomal RNA". It matches the Rfam family "Bacterial small subunit ribosomal RNA", at positions 524 to 776 of the family's 1533-position model. The record is from RNAcentral.